This 324-nucleotide unclassified non-coding RNA is filed under the name fungal sp. RNAcentral's name for it is "partial internal transcribed spacer region". The stretch from base 1 to 46 matches the Rfam family "Eukaryotic small subunit ribosomal RNA", at positions 1786 to 1831 of the family's 1831-position model. The record is from RNAcentral. Lineage: Eukaryota; Fungi.
AAGUCGUAACAAGGUUUCCGUAGGUGAACCUGCGGAAGGAUCAUUAACACGUCUUUAUAUCCAAUAUAUAAACUAAACGCGAACUAAACCCCCGCCCUAUCAUUAUAAACACUGUCAAAGUUAAUUGGAUUGAUUUUUGACCCUCUUAAUUCUGACUGAUGGUAGGCAAUUUUAUUAACAAUCAUUUUAAACUCUUAUAACCUAGUUGAUCUAACUACUAAGACAUUCUAGUAUUCAUUCCUUCAGCAAUGAUAGUAUGAAUACUGCUUGUUGUUAUAUUACGAAAUGUAAGAACAACUCUUAGCAAUGGAUAUCUUGGUUCUC